Molecule: non-coding RNA, 19 nt
Filed under: Arabidopsis thaliana (thale cress)
Lineage: Eukaryota; Viridiplantae; Streptophyta; Magnoliopsida; Brassicales; Brassicaceae
Source: RNAcentral
UGAUGGGUGGAUUUACAGC